GUUCGAUUCGGCUCGGAUUGAACGCUGGCGGGAUGCUUUUACACGCCGAAGUCGAACGGCGGCACGGACUUCGGUCUGGUGGCAGUGGCAGACGGGUGAAUGUAUCGGAACGUGCCUGAAAUGGCAAGGGGACGCUACGCGGCGUAGCUAAUGCCGCCUUCGCCCUUCGGGGAAAAGCGGGGGGACCUUCAGGCCUCGCACUAUUAGAGCGGCCGAUAUCGGAUUAGCUAGUUGGUGGGGUAACGGCUCACCAAGGCGACGAUCCGUAGCUGGUUGAAGAGACGACCAACCACACUGGGACUGAGACCGGCCCAGACUCUACGGGAGGCAGCAGUGGGAGAUUUUGGCCAAUGGGAAACCUGAUCCAGCCAUCCCGCGUGUGCGAUGAAGGCCUUCGGGUUGUAAGCACUUUUUGGCAGGAAAAAGAAACAGCCUGGGAUAAUGCCCGGUGCAACUGACAGUACCUGCAGAAUAAGCACCGGCUGACUACGUACCCAGCGUAACCGCUGAUAUGCAAUAGUGCAAACGUUAAUCAGGUCACUGAGCGUAAAGCGUGCGCAGGCGGACCGGAAAGAAAAGAUGUGAAAUCCCGAAGCUUAACUUUGGAACUGCAUUUUUUUAACUACCGAGCUAGAGUGUGUCAGAGGUAGAUUCCGCGUGUAGCAGUGAAAUGCGUAGAUAUGCGGAGGAACACCGAUGGCGAAAGGCAGCCUCUGGGAUAACACUGACGCUCGCUACUGGCGAUAGCAGGAGCAAACGGGAUUGAUCGCGCCAGUAGAGUCGCGCCCUAAACGAUGUCAACUAGCUGUUCCAGGGCCUUCGGGCCUUGGUAGCGCAGCUAACGCGUGAAGUUGACCGCCUGGGAAAUGCGGUCGCCAAUUAAAACUCAAAGGAAUUGACGGGGACCCGCACAAGCGGUGGAUGAUGUGGAUUAAUUCGAUGCAACGCGAAAACCUUACCUGCCUUGACAUGUCUGAAUCCGAAGAGAUUUGGGAGUGCUCGCAAGAGGAGCCGGACACAGGUGCUGCAUGGCUGUCGUCAGCUCGUGUCGUGAGAUGUUGGGAUUAAGUCCUGGCGAGCGCGCAACCCACCACGGCCAUUAGUUGCUACGAGGCACUCUAAUGAGACUGCCGGUGACAAACCGGAGGAAGGUGGGGAUGACGUCAGAAUAUCGCCGGCCAUGGGUAAGAAGCCACACGUCAUACAAUGGUCAGGACGGGGGUCGCCAGCCGCGAGAGGCCAAUCCCGAAGCCCGAUCGUAGUCGGAUCGCAGUCUGCAACUCGACUGCGUAAGUCGGAGAAUCGCUAGUAAUCGCGGAUCAGCAUGUCAUCGCGGUGAAUACGUUCCCGGGUCUUGUACUACACCGCCCGUCACACCAUGAGAUGGGUUUACCAGAGUAGUUGGCCUAACCGUAAAGGAGGGCGAUUACCACGGUAGGAUUCCACAUGGCUGGGGUGAAGUCGGCGCAAGGUAA
Molecule: ribosomal RNA, 1475 nt
Filed under: uncultured Bordetella sp.
Lineage: Bacteria; Pseudomonadati; Pseudomonadota; Betaproteobacteria; Burkholderiales; Alcaligenaceae
Description: partial 16S-23S ribosomal RNA intergenic spacer
Rfam family: Bacterial small subunit ribosomal RNA
Source: RNAcentral